Long non-coding RNA from Papaver somniferum (opium poppy), 1310 nucleotides. RefSeq lists it as uncharacterized. The record is from RefSeq and is a predicted model, not a curated record. NCBI's taxonomy places the organism in Eukaryota, Viridiplantae, Streptophyta, Magnoliopsida, Ranunculales, Papaveraceae. The transcript has 2 exons.
CCUAACCCUACCUCAUUCUCUCCGUCGCCGCCUCCUUUCUCUACCUCAUCUCCAUUUUCUCUUCUCCUUCUCAACUAGUUCUCACAGUAAAAAAUCCAUAGUCUUCACAUCUAUCUCUAUGAAGUUUGAACAAACACCAGUAUCACCUGAUUAAUUUUUUGAAUCGCUCUUUAAAAUUCUUUUCCCGUCAAGUUUUCUCAAUUUUUGGUAGACAUUUUUACUUUGAUUUAGAUGGUUUAAGGUGAUCUAUCUUUAUUUCCUGCUAAAUAGUUAAACUUGUAACCGAUUCCGACUCCAAUGAUGAUUUGAGGAGUUUGGAAUAUUACUUAAUUGAAGCUGAUUUUUUCCUCCUUGUUCAGUUAGGGAUUUGUUUAAAAUGUUCAACCUUUACUGAUUUCAACUCUAAUGAUUGUUGAAGAGUUGAGAUUUGUGGUUAUUCGACUUAGUUUAUGUUUUUAUUUCAUUUUUUUCAUGUUCAAUUUUUGUUGUAUGUUGAAUUAAUAGGUUAUCGAUUAAGAAUUGAAAUCUGGGUUUUAUUUUGCAUGUGAGUUCCUUUUGGGUUUGAUUCAUAUUGUUCUUCAUUUUUCUUUCAUUUUGGGGGUUUUAUUUAUUUACAUCCAAGUGAUUUUAUUUGUUGUUUGAUGAUUUUCAGAAAUUAGUUUUGUUUGUUCAUCAGAAAUUGGCAAAGAGCCUUAAUCAAUUUUUCAGAAAUUAGUAGUCUGUAAUGAUCGUAGUAAUAGUGGUGUUUAGCGAUUUGUUGUAAUUAACAUAUCAAAUUUACGUCUUAGACAAGAGUGUUUGAGGGUACCCUUAAAUUAGGUACCAAAGGUAUGGGUUUCAUUGAUUGGUUCUUUAUGUUGCUAUGGUUGUCAUAGUUUUUCAUUUUUCCAAUGGGUCUGGACUUUUGUUUGUUUGGAAUGAAAAAAAGUUUGCUCCACUAAUCUAAGCUUUGAAAAAGGAACAGAAGUAUCAGGACCAAUUUUUGGAGGAAGGAAUUAGAUCCGGAACGAGAACUCUAUUGACCUCAAAAUCAGAGCUAAAAUCUAAAAGAACAGAUUGAAUGAUAUUAAGUUGCAGAAUCGAUCCUUGUUUUUAAGCUUGUCCAGUGAUAUUUCAAAGAACUCUAAUCUUCUCAAAGUUGAAGUUGAAAUGGAUGUAUCAAUCUUGUUCCUCUUCUAAUUUCUUUUACCAAAUAAACGGGAUUUUAUUUUUUCUAUCUUUGUCAAGCUGAUUGUAAAUUUGUUGAUUAAUAAAUGAUAUUGUAAUUGAUUAAUAAAAUAAAUUAAUUUGCAUUUAAUUUGGUUAUCAUA